GUGGCGGACGGGUGAGGAACGCGUGAGAACCUGCCUCAAGGUCGGGGACAACAGUUGGAAACGACUGCUAAUACCGGAUGAGCCGAAUAGGUAAAAGAUUUAUCGCCUAGAGAGGGGCUCGCGUCUGAUUAGCUAGAUGGUGAGGUAAAGGCUUACCAUGGCGACGAUCAGUAGCUGGUCUGAGAGGAUGAGCAGCCACACUGGGACUGAGACACGGCCCAGACUCCUACGGGAGGCAGCAGUGGGGAAUUUUCCGCAAUGGGCGAAAGCCUGACGGAGCAAUACCGCGUGAGGGAGGAAGGCUCUUGGGUUGUAAACCUCAAAACUUAGGGAAGAAAAAAAUGACGGUACCUAAUGUAAGCAUCGGCUAACUCCGUGCCAGCAGCCGCGGUAAUACGGAGGAUGCAAGCGUUAUCCGGAAUCAUUGGGCGUAAAGAGUCCGUAGGUGGCACUUCAAGUCUGCUUUCAAAGACCGAAGCUCAACUUCGGAAAGGGAGUGGAAACUGAAGAGCUAGAGUAUAGUAGGGGUAGAGGGAAUUCCUAGUGUAGCGGUGAAAUGCGUAGAGAUUAGGAAGAACACCAGUGGCGAAGGCGCUCUACUGGGCAUAUACUGACACUGAGGGACGAAAGCUAGGGGAGCGAAAGGGAUUAGAUACCCCUGUAGUCCUA
This 669-nucleotide ribosomal RNA is filed under the name uncultured Chroococcales cyanobacterium. Its description in RNAcentral is "bacterial SSU rRNA". It matches the Rfam family "Bacterial small subunit ribosomal RNA", at positions 95 to 798 of the family's 1533-position model. Lineage: Bacteria; Bacillati; Cyanobacteriota; Cyanophyceae; Chroococcales. The record is from RNAcentral.